UGGCGGACGGGUGAGUAACGCGUGGGGAACCUGCCCUGUACCGGGGGAUAGCAGCCGGAAACGGCUGAUAAUACCGCAUAAGCGCACGAAUGUCGCAUGACAUGGUGUGAAAAACUCCGGUGGUAUAGGAUGGACCCGCGUCUGAUUAGCCGGUUGGUGGGGUAAAAGCCUACCAAAGCGAAGAUCAGUAGCCGAGUUGAGAGACUGACCGGCCACAUUGGGACUGAGACACGGCCCAGACUCCUACGGGAGGCAGCAGUG
This 261-nucleotide ribosomal RNA is filed under the name uncultured bacterium. Its description in RNAcentral is "partial 16S ribosomal RNA". It matches the Rfam family "Bacterial small subunit ribosomal RNA", at positions 96 to 356 of the family's 1533-position model. The record is from RNAcentral.